GGUGUCGAAAGACUCAAUAAGGAAGCCGGUCGAAGCCGGCGCGGUCCCGCCGCUGUAAGGGGAGCGAGUCUGCAUAAGUUAUGUCAUUGGGGAAACCUGAGAAGGCGCAGACAAGCCAUGAACCUAAGCCAGAAGAAUUGCCUGUUUAG
Molecule: non-coding RNA, 149 nt
Filed under: uncultured Anaerovibrio sp.
Lineage: Bacteria; Bacillati; Bacillota; Negativicutes; Selenomonadales; Selenomonadaceae
Source: RNAcentral